Small nucleolar RNA from Nymphaea colorata (pocket water lily), 131 nucleotides. RefSeq annotates it as small nucleolar RNA snoR74. The transcript has a single exon. Lineage: Eukaryota; Viridiplantae; Streptophyta; Magnoliopsida; Nymphaeales; Nymphaeaceae. The record is from RefSeq and is a predicted model, not a curated record.
AAAAAAGCAGGGACUUGUUGUCUCAAUGAACUGGUCUCUCGUAAGCUUCAGGAACAUAGAUUGCAUUGUUAUUGGGUGAACCGUUGUAGGCUUGGCCUCUGACAAAAGGUUCAAAAAAUAAUGUUACAUAG